GAUGAAGAACGCAGCGAAAUGCGAUAAGUAAUGUGAAUUGCAGAAUUCAGUGAAUCAUCGAAUCUUUGAACGCACAUUGCGCCCGCCGGUAUUCCGGCGGGCAUGCCUGUCCGAGCGUCAUUUCACCACUCAAGCCCGGCUUGGUGUUGGGGCGCCCGGCCGCCUGGUGGUCGGGGCCCCGUCUGCCGGAAGACCUGCUCGCAAGGUUGACCUCGGAUCAGGCAGGGAUACCCGCUGAACUUAAGCAUAUCAAUAAGCGGAGGA
RNAcentral lists this unclassified non-coding RNA (264 nucleotides) under soil metagenome. RNAcentral's name for it is "partial contains 5.8S ribosomal RNA, internal transcribed spacer 2, and large subunit ribosomal RNA". The stretch from base 1 to 120 matches the Rfam family "5.8S ribosomal RNA", at positions 35 to 154 of the family's 154-position model. The record is from RNAcentral.